Corchorus olitorius is the source of this 46-nucleotide non-coding RNA. The record is from Rfam. NCBI's taxonomy places the organism in Eukaryota, Viridiplantae, Streptophyta, Magnoliopsida, Malvales, Malvaceae.
AAACCAGCUUUAUUAAAAGCCACAAUGAGAAAAUAUACCUUUAUGU